AGCGAACGCUGGCGGCAGGCCUAACACAUGCAAGUCGAACGAACCUUUCGGGGUUAGUGGCGGACGGGUGAGUAACACGUGGGAACGUGCCUUUAGGUUCGGAAUAACUCAGGGAAACUUGUGCUAAUACCGAAUGUGUCCCUCGGGGGAAAGAUUAAUCGCCUUUAGAGCGGCCCGCGUCUGAUUAGCUAGUUGGUUGAGGUAAUGGCUCACCAAGGCGACGAUCAGUAGCUGGUCUGAGAGGAUGAUCAGCCACAUUGGGACUGAGACACGGCCCAAACUCCUACGGGAGGCAGCAGUGGGGAAUCUUGCGCAAUGGGCGAAAGCCUGACGCAGCCAUGCCGCGUGAAUGAUGAAGGUCUUAGGAUUGUAAAAUUCUUUCACCGGGGACGAUAAUGACGGUACCCGGAGAAGAAGCCCCGGCUAACUUCGUG
Molecule: ribosomal RNA, 434 nt
Filed under: uncultured bacterium
Lineage: Bacteria
Description: partial 16S ribosomal RNA
Rfam family: Bacterial small subunit ribosomal RNA
Source: RNAcentral